Molecule: transfer RNA, 69 nt
Filed under: Rattus norvegicus (Norway rat)
Lineage: Eukaryota; Metazoa; Chordata; Mammalia; Rodentia; Muridae
Rfam family: tRNA
About the family: Transfer RNA (tRNA) molecules are approximately 80 nucleotides in length. Their secondary structure includes four short double-helical elements and three loops (D, anti-codon, and T loops).
Source: Rfam by way of RNAcentral
GGGGCUUUAGCUCAGUGGUAGAGCACUUGCCUAGCAAGCGCAAGGCCCUGGGUUCGGUCCCCAGCUCCA